Long non-coding RNA from Micropterus salmoides (largemouth bass), 183 nucleotides. RefSeq lists it as uncharacterized. The record is from RefSeq and is a predicted model, not a curated record. Lineage: Eukaryota; Metazoa; Chordata; Actinopteri; Centrarchiformes; Centrarchidae. The transcript has 3 exons.
CCACCCGCUGCAGUGAGUUUGAGCAGAAUGGAGAAUCCCAGUACUUCUCAGGGCUGAGGGAGCUGGCAUCAGCACACAGAGGAAAGGUGGUGGCCAUCGGAGAGUGUGGACUCGAUUUUGACAGAUUGGAAUUUUGCCCCAAAGAGACUCAACUUAAAUUCUUCGAGAAGCAGUUUGACCUGG